RNAcentral lists this unclassified non-coding RNA (336 nucleotides) under soil metagenome. RNAcentral's name for it is "partial contains 5.8S ribosomal RNA, internal transcribed spacer 2, and large subunit ribosomal RNA". The stretch from base 1 to 120 matches the Rfam family "5.8S ribosomal RNA", at positions 35 to 154 of the family's 154-position model. The record is from RNAcentral.
GAUGAAGAACGCAGCGAAAUGCGAUAAGUAGUGUGAAUUGCAGAAUUCAGUGAAUCAUCGAAUCUUUGAACGCACAUUGCGCCCCUUGGUAUUCCAUGGGGCAUGCUUGUUCGAGCGUCAUUUGUACCUUCAAGCUUUGCUUGGUGUUGGGUGUUUGUCUCGCCUUUGCGUGUAGACUCGCCUUAAAAUAAUUGGCAGCCGGCGUAUUGAUUUCGGAGCGCAGUACAUCUCGCGCUUUGCACUCAUAACGACAGCGUCCAAAAGUACAUUUUACACUCUUGACCUCGGAUCAGGUAGGGAUACCCGCUGAACUUAAGCAUAUCAAUAAGCGGAGGA